UGCUGCUUUGCAAACAAUAGGUCUAGAGUCUUCUUGACACAGUAUUUCCAUACAAUAGUUCUGCCACUUGAAGAAAUGACCUCCAGUGUGUUCUUCCCAGCUGUUGUAUCCAAGCUUAUCCUGUCUAGCCAUAAAAUCUCCAUUCUCCUAUUGAUCAUUUGUAACUUUUAGGACAACCACAGGUGGUAUAAUGGGGCUGCCAAAGUAGCGAACCCUGGGAUCCAGAGUCCACAGAAUCCCACAGUCCCCAGGAAUUCUCUUACCUGCCACCAGAAGGUCAUCUACAUAUUGCAAAAGAGUACCUGGGGGAUUGUUGGCCCAGAAAGAGGCAAGAUCACGAUGUAGAGCUUCAUCAAACAAGGUGUGUUGGGGUAUCCAGGACGAGCUGAGGUGGGAGUGCUAGAUUCUAAUGGAGGUGAGAGGUCUUGGUUUCUAAAGAUGGAGAGAAAGAACAUGUUCUAAUUCUACACCUAAGAGGACAUGAUAAACAAUUGAACCAGCAUCAGAUGAUGUUCUGCCAGCAUUAUUUUUUGUAAUUCUAAAAUCUGCAUUCUGCUAUUGAUCAUUUGUAACUUUUUGGACAUCCACAGCUAAGUAACCAUACCAUUAUGAUACUCCUGUGAGCUGCCUACGUUCUACAACCACAGCUCUCUGAUAACUGUAGUCUCCCCUCCCCCAGCCUGAAACCUGCUUGCUCAGGGGUGGAGCUUCCUGUUCAUUCGUUCUGCCACGCCC
Molecule: long non-coding RNA, 735 nt
Organism: Mus musculus (house mouse)
Lineage: Eukaryota; Metazoa; Chordata; Mammalia; Rodentia; Muridae
Product: predicted gene, 32846
Exons: 8
Source: RefSeq, a predicted model, not a curated record